AAAGAUUACAUUGAUAGCACUUAAGCAUAGCACGAUUUUCGAUUUUGCUAUGAAAAAGACUACGUCGGAUUGGAAUACUUUAUUAUAGCAUUUUAUAAAUGCUAUGCCGAAAUUUUUUUUUUGGUUUCACGCCUAUCUUUUAAGUGCCCGCUUAAGUGAAAAACAAGCGGUUCAUUUUCCCUCUUAACACUUAGGGAAAAAAUCCACUAUCUCUUCUAUUCUCCAAGUCUCCAUCUCCAAACCCUAAUUUCAAUUCACCUUAUUGGCUGCAGAGCUUUCUGGAUUCACAAGCUCAGCUUCAGGAAUUGCAUUGGAGCGAGAAGAUCGGAUUCUCGUCGGAUUGAAUUCCACCACUGGAAGCGGAAUCUUCGAAUAUCCGAUGAGAUUCGCGUCUUCUUCCUCAGAUCGUUGAAGAAACAGUUUCUUGCGUCUAGGCUCGUCGGCUUCCUUCGAUUCCGGCGAUGGACGUUUCACGGGGCUGGUGGUUGAGGUGGUUGAAGAGGAGCCGAAAGAUCCGAAGUUGAAGAUGGUGCCAGAUACUUCGUCGACGACUUCAAUCUCUCUCUCUCGACCGCCGCUUUAUCCCUCUCAGUCUCCCUCUCUCUUUUUCCCCCUUUCCUUCGAUUUUGUCAUAAACCCUAAUUUUACUUCUUUAUUUCGUCUUGUUUUUGCUACAGGUUAUCCUAAGAGAUUUAAAUCGAGAAGGGAAAAAAUCUCUGAGCUUCUUUUCUCUUGUAGAGUGAAUCGAUGCAUCAGAUGCGACCAUCUCGAGCUUACGAUUCCUGGGGACGACGAAGAGGGAGAGGCUAAUUUGGGAUGUGGAGUCGCCGGUGAUGAUGGUGUUACGAGGGUUGAUGUUGAUGAAGAUUAUGAAGAAGCUGGUGGUAGUAAAGAGAGCAAAGCUAAUAGAUUAUAGAUGAGCCAAUCUCGGUGUUGCUCGAAUCCUUGAGAAAGCUUCAAUUGAUGUCUUUGAAUUUGGAUAUUCUUAAGAGUACUGAAAUCGGAAAGGCUGUUAAUGGUUUGAGGAAACAUGGGUUUUGAUAAGAUUCGCCAACUCGCAAAGACUAUUAUCCUUGAAUGGAAGGAGUUGGUAGCAGAAACUCAAAGCUUUUGAUGCAGACGCAAGAAGUGAAAAGCUCCAGGACCUUAACAAGAAAAACUCAAAGCUCUUGAUGCAGACGCAAAGUUCCAGUUUGCUAAGAGGAAACUUCAAGCGAGCUACCAACAACAUGAGAAUGGUUUGUUCCUUUACCUCUUGUGAUUUUUGACUGUGAACAUUUGUGUUUGCAGGUAGAUUCAGGCUGGGACAUUGAUGAAUAACUAUGCACAUAUAUUUGAUGCAAAACCUCUAAUAGGUUUGCCUCAGCAGGACCUCUAAAAGGAAUUCUCAGGUAUACAGAUGAAGAUGUUGUAUCUCUUCUUUUUCUUCAAAGUGAUAUGAAUAUCCUGAGUUUUGGCUUUGUG
Molecule: long non-coding RNA, 1464 nt
Organism: Arabidopsis lyrata subsp. lyrata
Lineage: Eukaryota; Viridiplantae; Streptophyta; Magnoliopsida; Brassicales; Brassicaceae
Exons: 5
Source: RefSeq, a predicted model, not a curated record